This 517-nucleotide ribosomal RNA is filed under the name Candona sp. 13 IK-2020. RNAcentral describes it as "partial large subunit ribosomal RNA". It matches the Rfam family "Bacterial large subunit ribosomal RNA", at positions 1796 to 2619 of the family's 2925-position model. The record is from RNAcentral. Lineage: Eukaryota; Metazoa; Arthropoda; Ostracoda; Podocopida; Candonidae.
UCGCCUGUUUAACAAAAACAUUUUCUUUAGGUUUGAUUAAAGAUAAGGCCUGCUCAAUGAAAUUUAAAUGGCCGCAGUAUAAUGACUGUGCUAAGGUAGCAUAAUAAUUUGCCUUUUAAUUGGGGGCUGGAAUGAAAGGUUUUAUGGGGAAUAGCUGUUUCAGAAUAAAUAAAUUGAAUUUAAGUUUUGCAUAAAAACUUGCAAAUGUUCUUGAGGGACGAGAAGACCCUGUGGAUUUUUAUUUGUUAAAAAAUAAAUUUUAUAAUAUUUUAUUUUUUAUCCAAAUUUGGUUGGGAUGACAAUAAAAUUAACUUUAUUUAGAGGGUAAUAAUUAGAUCCUUUUUAAGGAAAAAAGAACAAAUUACCCCAGGGAUAACAGCGUAAUACUUUUGGACAGGACAAAUGGAUAAAAGUGUUUGCGACCUCGAUGUUGAAUUAAAAUAUCUUUAUUAAGCAUAAAUAAUAAUAGUAAGUCUGUUCGACUUUUGAAAUUUUACAUGAUUUGAGUUCAGACCGG